RNAcentral lists this ribosomal RNA (253 nucleotides) under uncultured bacterium. RNAcentral's name for it is "partial 16S ribosomal RNA". It matches the Rfam family "Bacterial small subunit ribosomal RNA", at positions 524 to 776 of the family's 1533-position model. The record is from RNAcentral.
UACAGAGGUCUCAAGCGUUGUUCGGAUUCAUUGGGCGUAAAGGGUGCGUAGGCGGCGCGGUAAGUCGGGUGUGAAAUCUCGGGGCUUAACUCCGAAACCGCAUUCGAUACUGCCGUGCUUGAGGACUGGAGAGGAGACUGGAAUUUACGGUGUAGCGGUGAAAUGCGUAGAUAUCGUAAGGAAGACCAGUGGCGAAGGCGGGUCUCUGGACAGUUCCUGACGCUGAGGCACGAAGGCCAGGGGAGCAAACAGG